ACUAUUUUGGCAGAAAAGUGCGGUGGAUUUAGAAUCUAUAAAUGUGGGAUUAACCUAUGAAUAGUA
Molecule: transfer RNA, 66 nt
Filed under: Haplosymploce aurantiaca
Lineage: Eukaryota; Metazoa; Arthropoda; Insecta; Blattodea; Blattellidae
Description: tRNA-Leu
Rfam family: tRNA
About the family: Transfer RNA (tRNA) molecules are approximately 80 nucleotides in length. Their secondary structure includes four short double-helical elements and three loops (D, anti-codon, and T loops).
Source: RNAcentral